ACAAAGAGUAAUUGAAUGUGGGUCGUUGUGUUGAUGACAUCAGGAGGGAACGAGUUAUUUCCCAUUUGUGCUGUGAACACCAUAGACAAUGAGAAACCACCCACAUUCAAUUGCAUGGCUUGGAUGAAAUAUCCUGAUUGGUUCUCCCCUAUUCCUCCUCAGGGUUGUGAUUGUAUUGGUGGAUGCUUGGACUCUCAGAAAUGCUCAUGUGUACUCAAGAAUGGAGGCGAGAUACCAUACAACUACAACGGUGCUAUCGUAGAAUCAAAGACUCUGGUCUAUGAGUGUGGUCCUUCUUGCAAGUGCCCUCCUUCGUGCUACAAUAGAGUCAGCCAGCAUGGCAUCAAAAUUCAGCUUGAAAUCUUCAAAACAGAGUCAAGGGGUUGGGGUGUUAGAUCCCUAACUUCUAUUCCUUCAGGAAGUUUUAUAUGUGAGUAUAUUGGGGAGCUUCUCGAGGACGCGGAAGCUGAAAAAAGACACAAUGAUGAGUAUUUGUUUGACAUUGGACAAAAUUACUGCGAUUGUUCUGUUAUGGAUGAACUUUCUACUCUCAAGCCUGAUGCACAAUCAACUCCUAAUGAGGUUGUGGAGGAUGGUUUCACCAUUGAUGCUGCGGAAUGUGCAAAUGUGGGCAGGUUUGUUAACCACAGCUGUUCCCCUAAUCUUUAUGCUCAGAAUGUCCUCUAUGAUCACGAGGACAAGAAAAUGCCCCACAUAAUGUUCUUUGCUGCAGAGAAUAUUCCACCCUUACAGGAGCUGACUUACCACUAUAAUUAUUCAGUGGAUGAGAUUCGUGAUUCGAAUGGCAAUAUUAAGAAGAAGAACUGCUAUUGUGGUUCUGAGGAGUGCACUGGCAGAAUGUAUUGAGGCCGACAGAAAAAUUUGGGUUCUCGGGUAGGGAUUCCUUUUCUCUUAAUAUGCAAAGCUUGAUUUUGAUGAAAGCAGACGAGGAGAAUGAUGGAAAGGUUUGGAUCAUAUUUUGAGGUGCUGGGAUCUCCAAUAUCAGUUUUGACAAUGUUUUUCUCAAUUUGUUUACUGGACAACACAUUUUAUGGUUAGAUAUGGAGUGCCUUGACACAGUGUGGUUAGUCCUGUAGACUUGGCAGUAAUUUUUUCCAGACUACGAGGUGGACUACUACUCCCAUCCUCUGUAGGUCAGAUCACUACACCCACCAUGAAAUGAAUUAUCUGCUGUAUAUGCUGUUUAUUGAAUUAUUUGUAUGUUUGUUACUGAAUUAGCGAUUCCAGAGAAGAAAUCCAAAAAUGUUAAACUUGGUAACCUUCAUAUGGUACUGUUCUUGUCCCAAGGGAGAAAAAAAUGUAAUCUUCUGUGCCUUUCCCUGUAGUUUUUUUGAUUUAGCAUUUUUUGGAAUUUGUACAUAUGAAUCUGGUGACAAAUAAGUUAUGAAAUAGGUGACUGGUUGUUUGUGAAGGUUUCA
Non-coding RNA from Camellia sinensis, 1439 nucleotides. Lineage: Eukaryota; Viridiplantae; Streptophyta; Magnoliopsida; Ericales; Theaceae. The record is from RefSeq and is a predicted model, not a curated record.